AGAGUUUGAUCCUGGCUCAGGAUGAACGCUGGCGGCGUGCCUUACACAUGCAAGUCGAGCGAGGGCUUUUUGUUAGGGCAACUUAAUGAGAAGUUCCUAGCGGCAAACGGGUGAGUAAUGGAUGGGUAACCUACCCUAAAGAUAGGGAUAGCCUUCCGAAAGGGAGGGUAAUACCUAAUAAUGUUGAUAGACUUCGGUUUAUCAAAGAAAGAUGGCCUCUGUUUUAUGCUAUCACUUUGGGAGGGGCCCAUCUCCUAUCAGCUUGUUGAUGAGGUAACGGCUCACCAAGGCUACGACGGGUAGCUGGUCUGAGAGGAUGAUCAGCCACAUUGGGACUGAGACACAGCCCAGACUCCUACGGGAGGCAGCAGUGGGGAAUAUUGGUCAAUGGACGAAAGUCUGAACCAGCGACGCCGCGUGGAGGA
This 425-nucleotide ribosomal RNA is filed under the name uncultured bacterium. Its description in RNAcentral is "bacterial SSU rRNA". It matches the Rfam family "Bacterial small subunit ribosomal RNA", at positions 8 to 408 of the family's 1533-position model. The record is from RNAcentral.